UACGUAGGGUGCAAGCGUUGUCCGGAAUUAUUGGGCGUAAAGAGCGUGUAGGCGGCUAGGUAGGUCCGUUGUGAAAACUGGAGGCUUAACCUCCAGCUGUCGAUGGAAACCAUCUGGCUAGAGUCCGGAAGAGGAGAGUGGAAUUCCUGGUGUAGCGGUGAAAUGCGCAGAUAUCAGGAAGAACACCCGUGGCGAAGGCGGAUCUCUGGGACGGUACUGACGCUGAGACGCGAAAGCGUGGGGAGCGAACAGG
Molecule: ribosomal RNA, 253 nt
Filed under: uncultured bacterium
Lineage: Bacteria
Description: partial 16S ribosomal RNA
Rfam family: Bacterial small subunit ribosomal RNA
Source: RNAcentral